GGGCUGACAUCACUGUUUCCACCAGCCAUACAGAGCCUACAGAAAUCUCACAAGAUGGAUUUCUUUGCUUGGAUUCCAGGGCUAAGGUUCCUGCCCUGUGUGAAUUCCUGCUCUCACUGCUUUUGAUGAUCUACUGUUCUAUGGACCCGUCUCCCUGUGUCCUGAAACUCCCUCUGUAGACCAGGCUGGCCUCAGACUCCCAGAGAACCUGUGUCUACUUCUGAGCGCUGGGAAUGAAGGUUGGACUUGAACUGGCACUGUUGCUGGGGAUGAUCGUGAUGAUGGUCCUUCUGUCUCUGUCUCCCAAGUGCUGGGAUUACAGAUCUCGCAAAAGGGGAGGAAGGCCUUCACCGCUGAACCCGAGCUUUGCCAUUUCGAAGUGCUGAGUCACCUCGUCCUCUCAGGGUCAGACACUUUCACGCAGGAAACGUCCUGCAGAGCACCGCAGCGGGAGCACCGAGCUGGUAUGUCCCUAUUUGAAUGACAAGACGGGAGAAGAGACAGCGCAUAUCUAUGCUAACUUAUUUUUCCUCAUAAGCUGGUGUUUAAGAGACUUCUGACAGCAGAAAUCAGCUUUCUGGUUGGUAAUUUUGUUGAACAGUAUUUUCUUCCCAUGGCUGGAGAUGACUCAGUAGUUAGAGUCAGUUGCUCUUCCAGAACAGCAAGGUUCAAUUCCCAGCGUGUGCACGCGCGCGCGCGCGCACACACACACACACACACACACACACACACACAUACACACGCCGGGGGCUCACAACUGUAGCUCCAGGCGUCAAGUUUUCUGGCACUAGGCAUGCAUGUGUGCACAGAUGAAUGUGCAUGGAACACACCCAUGUACGGCUCCUGUAAAAUGAACAUGACUGUCAAAGUGUUGUCUAGUGGUGUUUACAGGGGAAGGUGCUCUCCGCUUAUUUUAUUAUUUUUAAAUCGCUUGAUUCUCAAUUUAGUUUAAAAAAAAAACCUAAUACAAAAAGAAAAAAGAAUACAAGAAUAAAUUAGAUCUUAAACCAGCUCAACUUUUAGGACAUCUGUUUUUGUAUUUUGAACAUGUCAUCGAGUGUACCGGAAGUAUUACUGCUGUAUUAAUGAGGGGAAGUGGGUAGUGGACAGCUGGGGAGGGUGGGAGGGCAGGAAGUUACAGUUUAGGAUUUUGGGGGAAUGUAGAGAGCAUAAACACACAAGAUUGAGCAACCUGGCCAGGUGGGGUACGCACGCCUUUAAUUCUAGCACUUGGAGGCAGAGGCAGGUGGAUCUCCUGAGUUCCAGGACAGCUGGAGUUUCCCAGAGAAACCCUGACUCGAGAAAAAAACAAAACCAAGAAAAGACUGAACAAUUUGUAUAUAGAAUGGCUUUACUGUUCUUUUAACAGAAAACUGUCUCCCAUCAUUUGGGGGUCCUCCAACAGGAAGCGGCUUGGUCUUUCCACAGGGUGGUAAUUUAUUCUAGAACCGAUGUGCCAGCGUUUCCUUCUGUGUGCUUUGAGUAGGAGCAGGAACAACGGAUCUCUCCAAGCAUGGGCAGACGGAGAGCUGCAACCCUUGGACCAACCAACGCCUGCCAGUGGGCGCCUGCAUCCCACGCCUGCAUCCCGCGUGCAGGCUACUGGCAGGUGCUCUGUGUCUCACUCCAUCUUUACCUGCCCUGUAAAGGAGGAACUGUUGUUUUUAGUCUCCUGGAGCAGCCGCGCCUUCCCACAGCACUCAGACUUGAGGAAGCUUAAGAAGCUGAGACCAGAGAGGGCGAUGUCCACCUUGGUGACGAAGCACUCUAGAGGCUGCCGCCACACUUAAAAAGUGACCAGUCACCAACAACUCAUCUUAAGUACAGGAAGAAUGCCAGCAGCUGAAUGAAAUUCUUGCUUUCCCUGGUGAACAACGAAGGGGAAGGGAAUGGAGUGUGGUGAAAGAGAGGGCAGAAAGGCUGCCAGUGUCCUCUUCAUCCCUGCCCCACCCCCACCCCCACCCCCCAGCACAGAGAGACCCGGGAAGAUUUCAAAUCUUUCCUUUAAGUGGCGGCUAAGGACAAAAUGAAAUGACUUAGCCACCUAUCAUGGUCUUUACUGAGUUAUAUCCAUGGAUAUAAGAUAAUUUGGCAUCUAAAAAACAAAGACAGGGCCAGUAAAAUGGCUCACUGGGUAAAGGUGCCCGCUGCCAAGCCAGAGCACCUGGGUUUGGUCCUUGGAACUCACACGGUGGGGAGAACAGAUCCCUUCAUGCUGUGUGCUGAUGCCCACAUGCAUGUUAGGAAAACACUUCCAGCCCCCUAAACUAACUUUUUCUAUUCCGUACUCUGCCUGUGACUAGACCUGGAAGGAGAGAACAAGGGCCUUCCUGAGGCAGGACAAGGACCCAGAACUACCCAGAAUGCAGCAGGGCGGCCCCGCACGACUGAGCUCUGAUCCUAACCUGCAAAGUGAAGUUUCAAUUUCCACUUCCUGAGAAGGUGUAUAGGUGUGAACCAAGUGCACGUCUAGUUCCCUUGGAGGCCAGAAAGAAGGCGGUGUCAGAUCCCCAGGAACCAUAGUUACAGAUGGUUGUCUCCUGUAGCUCAACCUGGCCUGGAAUUCUCUAUGUAGCUGCAAGUGACCCUGACCUUCUGAGUCUUCUCUACCUUCCAGUGUAGUCUCCCCUCCCCCAGCCUGAAUCCUGCUUGCUCAGGGGUGGAGCUUCCCGCUCAAUCGUUCAGCCAUGC
Mus musculus (house mouse) is the source of this 2691-nucleotide RNA transcript. It is a transcript of the gene named predicted gene, 41958, with no coding region annotated. Lineage: Eukaryota; Metazoa; Chordata; Mammalia; Rodentia; Muridae. The transcript has 7 exons. The record is from RefSeq and is a predicted model, not a curated record.